RNAcentral lists this long non-coding RNA (588 nucleotides) under Mytilus galloprovincialis (Mediterranean mussel). Lineage: Eukaryota; Metazoa; Mollusca; Bivalvia; Mytilida; Mytilidae. The record is from RNAcentral.
CCAAAAUUCAUUUUUUAUAUUCAAAGACAUAUACAUGAACUUGUAAACGCACAUUUGCACAAGGUCGAUUUCUAUCCGACGCAGCUCAUGUUAUACCAUAAGUAGAAAUAUACAGUUAUCAGUUUUGUAUAAUAAAAUGGCAGCAAGUGAAAUAUCACAAUAAUAUUUCAUGAGAAAAUGUUUUAGAGUGAAAGGUUUUGUCAUUGUGUAUAUAUUUCACUAGAUGGAGAUUAAUUGUAAAUACAGUACUUAAUAAAACAUAUUGGAUAUUCAACAAUGAGGGGGGUAGGAGGGGUCCUGAUCCCAAAAUCUUGGGCUUAAAAACACGAAAUCCUGAGGUCCUGAAUUUAAACAAAAUUAAAUCCUGACAUCCGGAACUUCAAAAAAAGAAUUACUGGGUUCCAAAAGGGUCCAUCCCAAAAUCCUGAGCUUAAAAAUACACUAUUUGGGAGUCCUGAUAAAGGUCCUAUCCCCCUCAACAAUGAUUACGGGUAAUUUGCAAUAAAGUUAAUGUUGUAAGGGUAAAUUAUUGUUGUAAACUGAAAUGGCAGAAGUGUUGACACAAAAUUUAUAUCAAACUAUAAUUAA